GCAGACACAUUCCAGCCAAUCAGCAGCAGACCCUCCCUCCCAGACCCUCCCACCUCCUGGACAGCAUCCAUUUUACAUUCAUUGUGAAGCUGCAUUCUUAGUGAGCUGUCCAGGAGGUGGGAGGGUCUGGAAGGGAGGGUCUGCUGCUGAUUGGCUGGAAUGUGUCUG
Molecule: non-coding RNA, 168 nt
Organism: Pelobates cultripes (western spadefoot toad)
Lineage: Eukaryota; Metazoa; Chordata; Amphibia; Anura; Pelobatidae
Source: the annotation of a GenBank genome assembly